GCUUCAAUUCCUUUAUCUGUCUUCAAACAUUGCUUCAUCUCCUUCAAUCAGAUCAGCAUAAGUAACCUAAGAUUAUUGGGUCAAUUGGUCAAGGCCAGUAGUGUCGUGGCGUAAAUUAUUCAUGCCUCUUCCCUCCCAAGCCGAUACGACCAGUGAAACGUUCCGACGGCUUACAUCAUGGUCAAAUGACGGUGGAGAUCCGAGGCUAACAGCAGCAGAACGCUGUAGAUAAGUUGGUGGCGGCUGCGGCCGAGUAGUAUUCGUAAGCUUACUGUAACUCUUUGGAUCGAAAGGGAUGGCAUGCCGACUAGGUCCACUAUCACAUUUGAAGAAAGCGUCGUCGAAAGGAAGAGACUGAACACAAGGUGCAUGAUGAAAUGCUGCAAUAAAGGACCGCGGCGGAAUAGGGAGAUGGUUUUCAUACGAGGACGAUGCUGCAUGGCGCACGGUGGGCAGGAAUCGACGAAAUGGAAUCUCCUGUCAUCCCGGCAGCUUUACACCGUAUCCAUGACGAGCCCACGUCGAACAUGGCGACUCGAGGGAUCAAACACAUAUGCAUGGGCGAGUGAUGUUUAAAGUUGAUGUGACACAGUACGCGGUAGUGUGCCUUUGAUUCGCUAUGGUGCGAUGCCAAUCACACGUUCAUUGCUAAUUAACUAAUGAUGGCGCUUGAUGAGAUG
Molecule: long non-coding RNA, 680 nt
Organism: Musa acuminata AAA Group (dessert banana)
Lineage: Eukaryota; Viridiplantae; Streptophyta; Magnoliopsida; Zingiberales; Musaceae
Exons: 2
Source: RefSeq, a predicted model, not a curated record